UUUUUUUUAGAAAGAAGCACCUGCCUUGCCUCCUUCCCUCCUUUGCCUGUCCAAAGGUGAAUGAUAUGAGUCGGGCAGUGUGCAUGUCUUCCCAGAAGAAAAAAUGAGGCUCAGAUGUGACUCGGUGUCCCCGGUGAGUGGGUGCAUCAUAAAUGUCAGACAUUGACUGCACCGAAAAGCCUUCUUGGGCUGUCUUCACCGUCUUGUUCUUGGCUUUGGACUCCUGAGCUGCACAAUAAGGAUGUGCAUGGUGCUGCUGACCGUAUGCUCCCCCGACAGUUCCAGGAAGGUGCAGAGUGCUGACAGCCACGCCCUGGAGCUUGCGCUUGCCAGUGCUUACUCUCAGAACUGACUCCUGAGGGAAGGCAAGUGUUUGAAUUGACUUUCUCCAAGGUUCUCACUCUUAGGAAGAUGCAGGUGGAGUUAUCUGUGAUUCUCCCUGUAGGUCAGUGUCUCUGGGAUGCCUUCCCCUUCCUUGACCUCCAUGGGGCCUUCCUCAGCUGAUCACUCACUGUUCCUGCCUCCCAGCCGAUGGCUCUGAUUCUCAAUGGCUUCUGCAUAGUGAAUGCUGUCAGGCAAUCUUCCUGGAUAUCUCCUUCACGACGUUGCUCCUUCUGCCUGAGAAUCUGUAACGAGCACGGAAGGUCUCUGGAUGUUGUGGGGACAUGCUGGGUUGUUCUGAUGGGCCUUUUGGGGGCUCCUGUCCGGUGCCCCGGGAAUGUCUGUGUGGGAGGACUUGGUGUGGCAAUCUGGUUGGAAGGGAGGGGUUACUGUUGUAGAAAGCACACCAUCUUUACCUCCUGCGUCGUCAUAAAGCCAUGAAAAGAGUAAAAGUUUCUAAAGGUGAUUUUAUUAGAGUGCUUCACAGUCCAGCUACAGAACAUCCACAUCCAACGACUGUCAACAAGGGCUUUGUCAGCUCCCACAGCUAAAACACACCAAGGAAGUUCAGGCAUCUGGGUUGAUUUUCUCCAAAGCUCUUGAUCCUAUGAGGCUGCAGGUCGAGUUAUCUGUGAUGCUCCCUGUGGGUCAGGUUAAUUCUCAGCCUGCUUCCCUCAUGGUGAUAAAGUGGCUGCCAGCACCUCCUGGACCAUGAGCAUCCUUGUUCACAUGCAGGAGGAGGGAGACAUCUGCCCUCACGGCAGGCCGGGGUUUGAGAGUGAACCUUCCCCUAAACAUAGAGCAAAGCCCCAAGUUUCCCUCUGAAAGGAUUCAUUUAGGUUUUUCGUCCAUCCUCGAAACCACAUCUACAAUAAGAGAAGUCACUGCAGGUGCCCGGGGUGCCCUCCUGGAGCCUUGGGGGUGUGAGCACCUACCCCACAGGCCAUUGCUGAGUGACCGUGGGUUGGUGGGGGAGCCCUGUGUCACCACAGCGUAAGAUGGAGAAACCACAUCACAGGGGAGCAACGCUAAGGGAUGGCCUGACCGAGAGGUAGGUGGAGACUUUGUAUGUGUGGGGUACACACACCCCAGCUCCUGCCCAGCCCCAAAGGCUGUUAACUGGGCAUGAAAGUGCUGGCCCAGGGCUGGGUGCAGGCUCAUGUCUGUAAUUCUAGCAUUUUGGGAGGCCAAGGUGGA
Molecule: long non-coding RNA, 1578 nt
Filed under: Homo sapiens (human)
Lineage: Eukaryota; Metazoa; Chordata; Mammalia; Primates; Hominidae
Description: HSALNT0356064
Source: RNAcentral